CAAGGCUUGACAUACACCGGAAUCACUCAGAGAUGGGUGCGUCUUCGGACUGGUGUACAGGUGGUGCAUGGUUGUCGUCAGCUCGUGUCGUGAGAUGUUGGGUUAAGUCCCGCAACGAGCGCAACCCUCGUUCCAUGUUGCCAGCAGCACUUCGGUGGCUGGGGACUCAUGGGAGACUGCCGGGGUCAACUCGGAGGAAGGUGGGGAUGACGUCAAAUCAUCAUGCCCCUUAUGUCUUGGGCUACACACGUGCUACAUUGGCCGGUACAAAGGGCUGCGAUGCCGCGAGGCGGAGCGAAUCCCAAAAAGCCGGUCCCGGUUCGGAUUGGAGGCUGAAACUCGCCUCCAUGAAGGCGGAGUUGCUAGUAAUCGCGAAUCAGCAACGUCGCGGUGAAUACGU
This 400-nucleotide ribosomal RNA is filed under the name uncultured Terracoccus sp. RNAcentral's name for it is "bacterial SSU rRNA". It matches the Rfam family "Bacterial small subunit ribosomal RNA", at positions 975 to 1371 of the family's 1533-position model. The record is from RNAcentral. Lineage: Bacteria; Bacillati; Actinomycetota; Actinomycetes; Micrococcales; Intrasporangiaceae.